Molecule: transfer RNA, 70 nt
Filed under: Brachymna tenuis
Lineage: Eukaryota; Metazoa; Arthropoda; Insecta; Hemiptera; Pentatomidae
Description: tRNA-Asp
Source: RNAcentral
AAAGAUUUAGUUUAAUAAUUAAAACAUUAAUUUGUCAAAUUAAAGAUAUUUAAUUUAAUAAUAAUCUUUA